RNAcentral lists this ribosomal RNA (333 nucleotides) under uncultured bacterium. RNAcentral describes it as "SSU rRNA". It matches the Rfam family "Bacterial small subunit ribosomal RNA", at positions 26 to 377 of the family's 1533-position model. The record is from RNAcentral.
AGGAUGAACGCUGGCGGCGUGCCUAAGUACAUGCAAGUCGAGCGGUAAGGCCUCUUCGGAGGUACACGAGCGGCGGACGGCUGAGUAACGCGUAGGAACCUACCCCGAAGUGAGGGAUAAGCACCAGAAAUGGUGUCUAAUACCGCAUGUGAUCCUAGGAUUAAAGCUUCGGCGCUUUGGGAAGGGCCUGCGUAUGAUUAGCUUGUUGGUGAGGUAAAAGCUCACCAAGGCGACGAUCAUUAGCUGGUCUGAGAGGAUGAUCAGCCAGACUGGGACUGAGAACGGCCCAGACUCCUACGGGAGGCAGCAGUAGGGAAUUUUCCACAAUGGGCG